CGCGGCCUAUCAGCUUGUUGGUGAGGUAAUGGCUCACCGAGGCGACGGCGGGUAGCCGGCCUGAGAGGGCGACCGGCCACACUGGGACUGAGACACGGCCCAGACUCCUACGGGAGGCAGCAGUGGGGAAUAUUGGGCAAUGGAGGAAACUCUGACCCAGCGACGCCGCGUGCGGGAUGAAGGCCUUCGGGUUGUAAACCGCUUUCAGCAGGGAAGAAGCGAAAGUGACGGUACCUGCAGAAGAAGCACCGGCUAACUAUGUGCCAGCAGCCGCGGUAAUACAUAGGGUGCAAGCGUUGUCCGGAAUUAUUGGGCGUAAAGAGCUCGUAGGUGGUUCGUCACGUCGGAUGUGAAACUCUGGGGCUUAACCCCAGACCUGCAUUCGAUACGGGCGAGCUUGAGUAUGGUAGGGGAGUCUGGAAUUCCUGGUGUAGCGGUGGAAUGCGCAGAUAUCGGGAGGAACACCAAUGGCGAAGGCAGGACUCUGGGCCAUUACUGACACUGAGGAGCGAAAGCGUGGGGAGCGAACAGGAUUAGAUACCCUGGUAGUCCACGCCGUAAACGGUGGGCACUAGUUGUGGGGACCUUCCACGGUCUCUGCGACGCAGCUAACGCAUUAAGUGCCCCGCCUGGGGAGUACGG
RNAcentral lists this ribosomal RNA (642 nucleotides) under uncultured Actinomycetes bacterium. Its description in RNAcentral is "bacterial SSU rRNA". It matches the Rfam family "Bacterial small subunit ribosomal RNA", at positions 232 to 885 of the family's 1533-position model. The record is from RNAcentral. Lineage: Bacteria; Bacillati; Actinomycetota; Actinomycetes.